CUUGCUUCUCGGUCUUUUGGCUAAGAUCAUGUGUAGUAUCUUAUUCUUAUCAGUUUAAUAUCUGACACAUCAUCGAUCAGAGGACUUUAUAUUAAAUGGAUUUUUGGGCCUGGGUUUUGGAUUUUUU
Molecule: small nuclear RNA, 127 nt
Filed under: Dryobates pubescens (Downy woodpecker)
Lineage: Eukaryota; Metazoa; Chordata; Aves; Piciformes; Picidae
Description: Picoides pubescens (downy woodpecker) U2 spliceosomal RNA
Rfam family: U2 spliceosomal RNA
About the family: U2 is a small nuclear RNA (snRNA) component of the spliceosome (involved in pre-mRNA splicing). Complementary binding between U2 snRNA (in an area lying towards the 5' end but 3' to hairpin I) and the branchpoint sequence (BPS) of the intron results the bulging out of an unpaired adenosine, on the BPS, which initiates a nucleophilic attack at the intronic 5' splice site, thus starting the first of two transesterification reactions that mediate splicing.
Source: Rfam by way of RNAcentral